UUUGUGUCCUUUUCAGCUCUUUGUUUAUUCACUCAACAGCGAAUCAGUGUUUUGUUUGUAUAGAGGAGACGGUAACUUGGCUGGUGCAUCGUCUGUUUUCAGUCGAGGGUGGCUAAGAAGUGUUGCACUGCUCCAAAAUUCCUUUUGUUUAAACCCUCUCAGGUUUUACAAGUUCUUGCUGGUUAUUUUUCCGUCUUUUUUAGCGUGCGUUUUUAAUUAUGUUUUUUUUGGGUUGUGUCAUUUGAUUUAGUUCUUUUUUAUUUUCAGCAAGCGGUAAUUGUCGUCCUGCACUCUAGCAACCGUAAAGAACACUGCUUUAGGUACACUUACCCUCUGAUGAAAAUCUCAAGUUUAAGUCUUUAUUGAUUUUUAAGUGAAGUGUUUUAUCGGCACAUAAUACCAUAUAAUUAUGUUCCAUGCCAUGAAGGGACGGAGAUGCCCCUGGUGCUGGUGAGUGCAUGCAUGCUGCUUGCUUACUGGUGAGUUCUUGGUUUGGAUGGUUAUUUUUUUUUUUGGAUGGUUAUUUUUUGUUUGGAUGGUUAUUUUUUGUUUGCUUACUGGUGGUUCAGAUUCAAUGGUUAUUUUUUGUUUGCUUACUGGUGGUUAUUUUUUGUUUGCUUACUGGAUGGUUAUUUUUUGUUUGCUUACAUAUACAUCUCACACACACACACACACACACACACACACAAUAAGUACUUGGCCAAUAUUGUAGAAAACACAGUUUCUUUAGCCUAUGGAAAAGAGCAUAGUUUCUUGAAACAUUUUGGUAAAAUGUCAUGAAUGGUAGAUUAUGCUUUUUUGGGUUUAAAUUAUGUAUAAUGUGUAGAUUAUGCUUACAUGGAGAUUAUGCUAUUUUAUUUGAUUAAUGAAUAUAGUUCUAUUAUUUAAUUUUUACAGAUUUUUACAUAAUGUCUCAAUCUCAAAGUCAAAGUACCCCUAGUAGUACUAAUGUAGCAUCAUCUACGGCUACAUCACCAUGUC
This is a long non-coding RNA of Pyrus x bretschneideri (Chinese white pear), 981 nucleotides long. RefSeq lists it as uncharacterized. The record is from RefSeq and is a predicted model, not a curated record. The transcript is spliced from 3 exons. NCBI's taxonomy places the organism in Eukaryota, Viridiplantae, Streptophyta, Magnoliopsida, Rosales, Rosaceae.